RNAcentral lists this small RNA (567 nucleotides) under Pan troglodytes (chimpanzee). RNAcentral describes it as "processed transcript". The record is from RNAcentral. Lineage: Eukaryota; Metazoa; Chordata; Mammalia; Primates; Hominidae.
AACUCCGCCGGCCGCCCCGCCCCGCGCGCUCCAGACCCCCGGGGCGGCUGCCGGGAGAGAUGCUGGAAGAAACUUCUUAAAUGACCGCGUCUGGCUGGCCGUGGAGCCUUUCUGGGUUGGGGAGAGGAAAGGAAAGUGGAAAAAACCUGAGAACUUCCUGAUCUCUCUCGCUGUGAGACAUGUCUGAGACUCCUGCUCAGUGUAGCAUUAAGCAGGAACGAAUUUCAUAUACACCUCCAGAGAGCCCAGUGCCGAGUUACGCUUCCUCGACGCCACUUCAUGUUCCAGUGCCUCGAGCGCUCAGGAUGGAGGAAGACUCGAUCCGCCUGCCUGCGCACCUGCGUUCUGGGGAUUAGGACACGGACAUUUCUAUUUGGCAGCCAGCAUUCAGCCCUCUCCAGUCACUGAGCUACACAGAAUGAAAAGCACCUUUGAAGAAUCGUAAGCCAUGAAUGAUGACGGGCCGAAGGGAGUGAGGGCUCCUACCUCUUGUCACUCCUACCAUCCUGCCUCCAGGACCCCUGCCACCUACUUGGGAGUCUGCCCUUAAAACUCAAGGGUCACCUG